This 453-nucleotide ribosomal RNA is filed under the name uncultured Porphyromonadaceae bacterium. RNAcentral describes it as "partial 16S ribosomal RNA". It matches the Rfam family "Bacterial small subunit ribosomal RNA", at positions 341 to 792 of the family's 1533-position model. Lineage: Bacteria; Pseudomonadati; Bacteroidota; Bacteroidia; Bacteroidales; Porphyromonadaceae. The record is from RNAcentral.
ACGGAAGGCAGCAGUGAGGAAUAUUGGUCAAUGGGCGGAAGCCUGAACCAGCCAAGUCGCGUGAAGGAUGAAGGUAUUAUGUAUUGUAAACUUCUUUAGACGUAGAGAAAUAAGAGGCUCGUGAGCCUUGAUGCUAGUAUACGUAGAAUAAGGAUCGGCUAACUCCGUGCCAGCAGCCGCGGUAAUACGGAGGGUCCGAGCGUUAUCCGGAUUUAUUGGGUUUAAAGGGUGCGCAGGCGGCCCUGUAAGUCAGCGGUUAAAUCGUGGAGCUCAACUCCAUCCCGCCGUUGAUACUGCAGGGCUUGAUUGCGGUCGAGGUUGGCGGAAUUCGCCGUGUAGCGGUGAAAUGCAUAGAUAUGGCGAAGAACUCCGAUUGCGUAGGCAGCUGACCAGGCCGUAAAUGACGCUCAUGCACGAAAGUGCGGGGAUCGAACAGGAUUAGAUACCCUGGUA